UGCAAGUCGAACGGGAACUAUAUAACAGAUCCUUCGGGUGAAGACUUAUAGGGAACGUGGCGAAAGUGUGAGUAAUAAAUGGAUAACCUACCCUCCAGAUCGGGAUAAUCCAUCGAAAGUGUGGGGUAAUACCGGAUGGUCUGGCAGUCUUAUCAGUCUGUCAGUAAAGGUUGCUUCGGCAUCUGCUGGAGGAGGGGUUCAUUUCCUAUUAGCUUGUUGGUAAGGUAAUGGCUUACCAAGGCAUAGAUGGGUAGGGGGCCUUAGCGGGUGAUCCCCCACACUGGGACUGAGACACUGCCCAGGUUCCUACGGGAGGCUGCAAUCGAGAAUCCUCCGCAAUGGGCGAAAGCCUGACGGGGUGACGCCGCGUGGACGAUGAAGGCCUAUCAGGUUGUAAAGUCCUAACAGGGAGUAUGAAAAUCGGCGGGUCCAAUAGGCCCGUUGAUUGACGUCAAUCCCAGAUGAAGUCACGGCUAAAUAUGUGCCAGCAGCCGCGGUAAGACAUAUGUGGCGAGCGUUGUUCGGAAUUACUGGGCUUAAAGCGCGCGUAGGCGGUUCAGUCAGUUAAUUUGUGAAAUCCCCCGGCUUAACCGGGGAAUCGCGGUUAAUACUGCUGAACUCGAGUACAAGAGGGGAGAGUGGAAUUCUGGGUGUAGCGGUGGAAUGCGAAGAUAUCCAGGAGAAGGCCGGUGGCGAAAGCGACUCUCUGGCUUGAUACUGACGCUGAGGUGCGAAAGCGUAGGUAGCGAACGGGAUUAGAUACCCCGGUAGUCUACGCCGUAAAUGAUGGGCACUGGAUGGUGGAGGCGCUGAUAGCUUUCUCCGUCGAAGCAAAUGCGUUAAGUGCCCCGCCUGGGGAGUACGGUCGCAAGAUUAAAACUCAAAGGAAUUGACGGGGGCCCACACAAGCGGUGGAGGAUGCGGCUUAAUUCGAGGACACGCGUAAAACCUUACCGAGGUUUGACAUGUAGGGAUUAAUCCGGUGAAAGCCGGAGGAUUGCCUUACGGUGUAACCUACACAGGUGCUGCAUGGCUGUCGACAGUUCGUGUCGUGAGAUGUUAGGUUAAGUCCUGAAACGAGCGAAACCCCUGUGCUUAAUUGCCAGCGCGUUAUGGCGGGGACAUUAGGCAGACUGCCUCGGCUAACGGGGAGGAAGGUGGGGACGACGUCAAGUCAGCAUGGCCCUUAUACCUCGGGCUGCACGCGUCCUACAAUGGGCAGUACAAACAGGACCGAUCCCGCGAGGGGGAGGAAAUCUCUAAAGCUGCUCUCAGUUCGGAUUGCAGGCUGAAACCCGCCUGCAUGAAGGUGGAAUCGCUAGUAAUCGCCGGUCAGCUAUACGGCGGUGAAUCCGUCCCUGGGCAUUGUACACACCGCCCGUCAAGCCACCCGAGUUGGGCGCACUCGAAGUCCGAGACUCAACCGUUUACGGAGAGACCGGCCGAAGGUGAUCCUGAUGAGGUGGACUAAGU
Molecule: ribosomal RNA, 1473 nt
Filed under: uncultured organism
Description: bacterial SSU rRNA
Rfam family: Bacterial small subunit ribosomal RNA
Source: RNAcentral